Drosophila biarmipes is the source of this 809-nucleotide long non-coding RNA. RefSeq lists it as uncharacterized. The record is from RefSeq and is a predicted model, not a curated record. The transcript is spliced from 5 exons. NCBI's taxonomy places the organism in Eukaryota, Metazoa, Arthropoda, Insecta, Diptera, Drosophilidae.
CGAGGUCCUGUCCAGUUCUAGCUAAAAAUGGAUGCUAUGGUCAAUCGAAAAGCCAGUUGACCGGAAGUUCCAGCGAAUGAUUGUGUGUGUGUUGGUGCUUUUGGACAGAUCACUGGAUAUGUAUGGAUAGAAGCGGAGCUUUUGUUAUGUUUGCUGGAUAUAUAUAUACAUAUAUAUAUAUAUAUAUAUAUAUGGAAAAGUCGUCGUUCAAGACUCCAGAGCAUGGAAAACUUCUUCAGAAAUGUGAACCACAAAAUGUACCUGUAGAAUAGCCCCAGGAUGUUAAGAGAAGAGUCCCCUGUAAUACAGACCUACACACGAAGUAAUUGUAACCAGAAUGACACAGAAAUAAGUAUAACGACUUUGAGCCACAACGUUAAAAUGGAAGAACAAAAUCGAACAGGAACAGGACUAUCGCCAGCUACCCUCUCAAAAUUAUAUCACACUUAAGGACCCGAAUAAUUUUUACAUGCCCUUAACAUGAAAGCUUCCAGAAGUAGGACCACUCUUAUUAUCCUGAGGAUGAGCUAUUCCAGGUAUCCACACAUAAUUGGGGGCUGUGCGAUUUAGGACCUGCGAAUAAAUAUUGAACUAUGCAUCGAAUUAUUUUAUGGUACCUGCGAAGUCCAGAAGUACACCUGGUAUUUUUAAACGUCUAUAUUUAAACAAAAGUCGUCUAUGAAGACGACGUUAUUGUACUGCCACACAACAUUUUACGUGAACCAUAUCGCCGCAAAUGGAAUACCCUAUAUAUCAAAUGCUGUACAGACGUCCACCUAGUUAAAAUAAAUAUGUAUACCACAAAAAGA